This 424-nucleotide ribosomal RNA is filed under the name Vexillifera sp. Its description in RNAcentral is "partial small subunit ribosomal RNA". It matches the Rfam family "Eukaryotic small subunit ribosomal RNA", at positions 587 to 975 of the family's 1831-position model. Lineage: Eukaryota; Discosea; Flabellinia; Dactylopodida; Vexilliferidae. The record is from RNAcentral.
GACUCCAAUAGCGUAUAUGGUCAGUGUUGCAGUUAAAAAGCUCGUAGUUGGAUUUUUAGAGGAGAUUUAGAGAAAUGAUUUUAAGUUUAAUUAAUAAAUAAAAUUUAUUUUUUAAAUUUUUCAUUUUUCAUCCUUUAUUAUGUAAUUAAAAUAUUUAUAGUAUUUUAAAUUACUUAUUUACUUUGAAUAAAUUAGAGUGUUUAAAACAAUUAUUUUUUUUUUUAAAAUUAAUUUUGAAUAUAUUAGCAUGGGAUAAUUGAAUAAGAUUUUUCAAUAAAUUUGUUUUAGUAAUAAGUUUUGUUAUUGAAAAAUAAUGAUUAAUAGGAUCGGUUGGGGGUAUUUGUAUUGAAAUGUCAGAGGUGAAAUUCAUGGAUUUUUUCAAGACAAACAUCAGCGAAAGCAUUUACCAAGGACGUUUUCAUUA